UGAGGAAUAUUGGUCAAUGGGCGCAGGCCUGAACCAGCCAAGUAGCGUGAAGGAUGACUGCCCUAUGGGUUGUAAACUUCUUUUAUAAAGGAAUAAAGUCGGGUAUGUAUACCCGUUUGCAUGUACUUUAUGAAUAAGGAUCGGCUAACUCCGUGCCAGCAGCCGCGGUAAUACGGAGGAUCCGAGCGUUAUCCGGAUUUAUUGGGUUUAAAGGGAGCGUAGAUGGAUGUUUAAGUCAGUUGUGAAAGUUUGCGGCUCAACCGUAAAAUUGCAGUUGAUACUGGAUAUCUUGAGUGCAGUUGAGGCAGGCGGAAUUCGUGGUGUAGCGGUGAAAUGCUUAGAUAUCACGAAGAACUCCGAUUGCGAAGGCAGCCUGCUAAGCUGCAACUGACAUUGAGGCUCGAAAGUGUGGGUAUCAAACAGGAUUAGAUACCCUGGUAGUCCACACGGUAAACGAUGAAUACUCGCUGUUUGCGAUAUACAGUAAGCGGCCAAGCGAAAGCAUUAAGUAUUCCACCUGGGGAGUACGCCGGCAACGGUGAAACUCAAAGGAAUUGACGGGGGCCCGCACAAGCGGAGGAACAUGUGGUUUAAUUCGAUGAUACGCGAGGAACCUUACCCGGGCUUAAAUUGCAAAUGAAUUAUGGGGAAACCCAUACGCCGCAAGGCAUUUGUGAAGGUGCUGCAUGGUUGUCGUCAGCUCGUGCCGUGAGGUGUCGGCUUAAGUGCCAUAACGAGCGCAACCCUUAUCUUCAGUUACUAACAGGUCAUGCUGAGGACUCUGGAGAGACUGCCGUCGUAAGAUGUGAGGAAGGUGGGGAUGACGUCAAAUCAGCACGGCCCUUACGUCCGGGGCUACACACGUGUUACAAUGGGGGGUACAGAAGGCCGCUACCUGGUGACAGGAUGCCAAUCCCAAAAACCUCUCUCAGUUCGGAUCGAAGUCUGCAACCCGACUUCGUGAAGCUGGAUUCGCUAGUAAUCGCGCAUCAGCCAUGGCGCGGUGAAUACGUUCCC
Molecule: ribosomal RNA, 1017 nt
Filed under: uncultured bacterium
Lineage: Bacteria
Description: bacterial SSU rRNA
Rfam family: Bacterial small subunit ribosomal RNA
Source: RNAcentral